RNAcentral lists this ribosomal RNA (693 nucleotides) under Triticum aestivum (bread wheat). RNAcentral's name for it is "partial small subunit ribosomal RNA". Lineage: Eukaryota; Viridiplantae; Streptophyta; Magnoliopsida; Poales; Poaceae. The record is from RNAcentral.
AUGAGGGGCGGCGGGCGGGCGCGGCAGAACACGAUCCGGUCGGGCAUCGUGGUGCUGGGCGCCGCGGCCUUCGCCUACCUCUCCUACCGCGUCGGAUUCAAGCCCUACCUCGACCGCGCCCAGGAGGCCAUGGACUCCCAAAUCCACAGCUCCGACCACGCCGCAGCCGCAGCCGCCGCCGCCUCCUGGGAGGACCAGCCCGGUCACCCGGAGGGCGACGGCGGCCUCGCGCCGUCCAGGGACCCGGCCACCGUGCUCCGCGACUGACUCGCCCCGCCGUCAGGGGGCUUCCGCGGCAGCUUGGCUCGUUGUGGCAUUUCGCCGAACGCUUUGUAAGCGGAUAAUAAAGGACCAGGAAGCAGAACAUCUUCUAGAUUCCAGCGACAUUGUUGCAGAUCUGUGUGAUCCUAAUGGGAAAUCUCGUUUGCCCCAUGUUCUUGCGCCGACUUACUCACGGUAGCGAUUAAUCCCCUAUCGUUGCAAUUUGAGUGAUGUAGAGAUGUUAGUUCUUCAGGAGCUUGAAGAAUGUAGGUCUUGCCCUCAUAUUUGGAGAUAGUUUCCUCUCCUAUGUAGGGCGUUGUCUUUCUUAGUGGGACAUUUUCUUGCCAGCCAGGCACAGUUGCAUCGUCCCAUGUAAACGCGGCCUGCCGCUGGACACUCUGUAUUAUUUCUCCUUUCCUCUAAUACAUCGGC